AGCUCCAAUAGCGUAUAUUAAAGUUGUUGCGGUUAAAACGCUCGUAGUUGGGUUUCUGUCAGGAACAACCGGUCUGUCCUGAGUGUCAAGUUACUGGCUUGCCGCCUGGCAUCUUCUUGGGGAACGGGUGCGCCCUUCACUGUGCGACCCGGAAACCUUGACGUUUACUUUGAGGAAAUGAGAGUGCUUCAAGCGGGUGUUCGCCACGAAUAUGUUAGCAUGGAAUAAUAGUGCUGGACCUCGAAUCACAGCUGUUGGUUGCUGGAAUUGGGGU
This 274-nucleotide ribosomal RNA is filed under the name uncultured eukaryote. Its description in RNAcentral is "partial small subunit ribosomal RNA". It matches the Rfam family "Eukaryotic small subunit ribosomal RNA", at positions 587 to 863 of the family's 1831-position model. The record is from RNAcentral.